This 993-nucleotide ribosomal RNA is filed under the name Raffaelea arxii. Its description in RNAcentral is "SSU rRNA". It matches the Rfam family "Eukaryotic small subunit ribosomal RNA", at positions 82 to 1085 of the family's 1831-position model. Lineage: Eukaryota; Fungi; Ascomycota; Sordariomycetes; Ophiostomatales; Ophiostomataceae. The record is from RNAcentral.
GCGAACUGCGAAUGGCUCAUUAAAUCAGUUAUCGUCUAUUUGAUAGUACCUUACUACUCGGAUAACCGUGGUAAUUCUAGAGCUAAUACGUGCUGAAAACCCCGACUUCGGAAGGGGUGUAUUUAUUAGAUUAAAAGCCAAUGCCCCCCGGGGCCCCUUGGUGAUUCAUGAUAACUCCUCGAAUCGCACGGCCUUGCGCCGGCGAUGGUUCAUUCAAAUUUCUGCCCUAUCAACUUUCGACGGCUGGGUCUUGGCCAGCCGUGGUGACAACGGGUAACGGAGGGUUAGGGCUCGACCCCGGAGAAGGAGCCUGAGAAACGGCUACUACAUCCAAGGAAGGCAGCAGGCGCGCAAAUUACCCAAUCCCGACGCGGGGAGGUAGUGACAAUAAAUACUGAUACAGGGCUCUUUCGGGUCUUGUAAUUGGAAUGAGUACAAUUUAAUUCCCUUAACGAGGAACAAUUGGAGGGCAAGUCUGGUGCCAGCAGCCGCGGUAAUUCCAGCUCCAAUAGCGUAUAUUAAAGUUGUUGCAGUUAAAAAGCUCGUAGUUGAACCUUGGGCCUGGCUGGCCGGUCCGCCUCACCGCGUGCACUGGUCCGGCCGGGCCUUUCCCUCUGGGGAACCGCAUGCCCUUCGCUGGGCGUGCCGGGGAACCAGGACGUUUACUUUGAAAAAAUUAGAGUGUUCAAAGCAGGCUUAUGCUCGGAUACAUUAGCAUGGAAUAAUGGAAUAGGACGUGCGGUUCUAUUUUGUUGGUUUCUAGGACCGCCGUAAUGAUUAAUAGGGACAGUCGGGGGCAUCCGUAUUCAGUUGUCAGAGGUGAAAUUCUUGGAUCUACUGAAGACGAACUACUGCGAAAGCAUUUGCCAAGGAUGUUUUCAUUAAUCAGGAACGAAAGUUAGGGGAUCGAAGACGAUCAGAUACCGUCGUAGUCUUAACCAUAAACUAUGCCGACUAGGGAUCGGACGGUGUUGCUUUUUGACCCGUUCGGCA